Long non-coding RNA from Mytilus californianus (California mussel), 1099 nucleotides. RefSeq lists it as uncharacterized. The record is from RefSeq and is a predicted model, not a curated record. NCBI's taxonomy places the organism in Eukaryota, Metazoa, Mollusca, Bivalvia, Mytilida, Mytilidae. The transcript is spliced from 5 exons.
UGUUCAUCAAAAUCACAGUCAACCUUGAAAUAAAAUGAGGUCAAAUCACCCUUGGCUGUACAUGCAGUUAUUAGUAAGCACAGUUUGUUGUAUUUAUGGUAGACGCGACAAACUGUUGUUCUCCACUGCAAAUACAAUGAAAGAGAUAGAUCUGGAUACAGGAGUGGUAAAAGAACUAGCUAAUCAAAGUACAAUAGCAUAUUCAUUAGCUUACGAUGUGAAAGAAAGAUAUGUGUAUGUUCUAAGACUUGAUGAAAAUGUCAUAGUUAGAUUCCCUUAUCCAAAUGACCAAACUUUAAAUUUUGAAAUUGUUGUUUCUUCUACAAACAGUCCAUUAUCCGCAGCAUUUGACUCAGCGAACAGUCAUCUAUACUGGACAGAGUAUACAUAUUCAGGAAAAAUUAUGAGAUGUAAUUCAGAUGGAUCCGAUUUAACCACUAUUUUUAAUGAAUCUAGGCCGAUUGCACUUACAUUAGACACGCAUAAUAGAUGGAUCUACUAAAGUAAAGAAGCAAGUAAUGCAAUGCACAGGGUGACAUUUGACGGAAAAGAAAAACAGGUAGUAUUAAACCUGGCAGCACGACCGAUAGAUAUACUAGUAGAUUUUGUUGACAAGCGAGUUUAUUGGAUGGGAUUUGACAACGGUGACUUGAAAUCUGCUUUGUAUAAUGGUUCUGAUGUCAAAACAUUGGUUAGCACCAAUGCACAAUACGUUAACCGGGAAAUUGACAUCGGUGGUGAAUACAUCUUCUAUACAAGUUCUAAUAAAAUUCUAAAGAUACACAAAUCUUCAGGACAAAUCCCAGCUGUUGUGCACACAGAAACAACACAGAUUUAUGGAGUUUUAAUUUAUAAACAGGAAGGUAAGAAUAUAUCAGUAAAUAAGCAAAUAAACUUUAUCUAUCCUUCAUUAUUCAAAUUGUAACUCAAACUCGUCGUGUUAAAUGAAAAUAAAAUGGGGGAAAGCAGACACCGAUAAAUUAAUAUAUCUGAGAUGUAUGUUAGAAUAUUUCAUCUAUUAAAUUGUUAUUUUUUUUUUCAAUAUUAUACCUUUUGAUUGAUACCAUUUCUAUUAUUAUGUUAUAACAUUAAUUAGUUG